RNAcentral lists this transfer RNA (78 nucleotides) under Camelus bactrianus (Bactrian camel). It matches the Rfam family "tRNA". Rfam says of the family: Transfer RNA (tRNA) molecules are approximately 80 nucleotides in length. Lineage: Eukaryota; Metazoa; Chordata; Mammalia; Artiodactyla; Camelidae. The record is from Rfam by way of RNAcentral. RNAcentral also lists the same sequence under 2 other names.
GAAGGUAUCGCUCAAGUGGUAGAGCACAUGCUUAGCAUGCAUGCGGUGAGGUCCUGGGUUCAAUCCCUGAUACCUUCA